Molecule: ribosomal RNA, 2142 nt
Filed under: Salmonella enterica subsp. enterica serovar Poona
Lineage: Bacteria; Pseudomonadati; Pseudomonadota; Gammaproteobacteria; Enterobacterales; Enterobacteriaceae
Description: partial 23S ribosomal RNA
Rfam family: Bacterial large subunit ribosomal RNA
Source: RNAcentral
GAGUCUUAACCGGGCGUUAAGUUGCAGGGUAUAGACCCGAAACCCGGUGAUCUAGCCAUGGGCAGGUUGAAGGUUGGGUAACACUAACUGGAGGACCGAACCGACUAAUGUUGAAAAAUUAGCGGAUGACCUGUGGCUGGGGGUGAAAGGCCAAUCAAACCGGGAGAUAGCUGGUUCUCCCCGAAAGCUAUUUAGGUAGCGCCUCGUGAACUCAUCUCCGGGGGUAGAGCACUGUUUCGGCUAGGGGGCCAUCCCGGCUUACCAACCCGAUGCAAACUGCGAAUACCGGAGAAUGUUAUCACGGGAGACACACGGCGGGUGCUAACGUCCGUCGUGAAGAGGGAAACAACCCAGACCGCCAGCUAAGGUCCCAAAGUCAUGGUUAAGUGGGAAACGAUGUGGGAAGGCCCAGACAGCCAGGAUGUUGGCUUAGAAGCAGCCAUCAUUUAAAGAAAGCGUAAUAGCUCACUGGUCGAGUCGGCCUGCGCGGAAGAUGUAACGGGGCUAAACCAUGCACCGAAGCUGCGGCAGCGACACUAUGUGUUGUUGGGUAGGGGAGCGUUCUGUAAGCCUGUGAAGGUGGCCUGUGAGGGUUGCUGGAGGUAUCAGAAGUGCGAAUGCUGACAUAAGUAACGAUAAAGCGGGUGAAAAGCCCGCUCGCCGGAAGACCAAGGGUUCCUGUCCAACGUUAAUCGGGGCAGGGUGAGUCGACCCCUAAGGCGAGGCCGAAAGGCGUAGUCGAUGGGAAACGGGUUAAUAUUCCCGUACUUGGUGUUACUGCGAAGGGGGGACGGAGAAGGCUAUGUUGGCCGGGCGACGGUUGUCCCGGUUUAAGCGUGUAGGUGUGUGUUCCAGGUAAAUCCGGUUCACUUUAACACUGAGGCGUGAUGACGAGGCACUACGGUGCUGAAGCAACAAAUGCCCUGCUUCCAGGAAAAGCCUCUAAGCAUCAGGUAACAUCAAAUCGUACCCCAAACCGACACAGGUGGUCAGGUAGAGAAUACCAAGGCGCUUGAGAGAACUCGGGUGAAGGAACUAGGCAAAAUGGUGCCGUAACUUCGGGAGAAGGCACGCUGACAUGUAGGUGAAGUGAUUUACUCAUGGAGCUGAAGUCAGUCGAAGAUACCAGCUGGCUGCAACUGUUUAUUAAAAACACAGCACUGUGCAAACACGAAAGUGGACGUAUACGGUGUGACGCCUGCCCGGUGCCGGAAGGUUAAUUGAUGGGGUCAGCGCAAGCGAAGCUCCUGAUCGAAGCCCCGGUAAACGGCGGCCGUAACUAUAACGGUCCUAAGGUAGCGAAAUUCCUUGUCGGGUAAGUUCCGACCUGCACGAAUGGCGUAAUGAUGGCCAGGCUGUCUCCACCCGAGACUCAGUGAAAUUGAACUCGCUGUGAAGAUGCAGUGUACCCGCGGCAAGACGGAAAGACCCCGUGAACCUUUACUAUAGCUUGACACUGAACAUUGAGCCUUGAUGUGUAGGAUAGGUGGGAGGCUUUGAAGUGUGGACGCCAGUCUGCAUGGAGCCGACCUUGAAAUACCACCCUUUAAUGUUUGAUGUUCUAACGUGGACCCGUAAUCCGGGUUGCGGACAGUGUCUGGUGGGUAGUUUGACUGGGGCGGUCUCCUCCUAAAGAGUAACGGAGGAGCACGAAGGUUGGCUAAUCCUGGUCGGACAUCAGGAGGUUAGUGCAAUGGCAUAAGCCAGCUUGACUGCGAGCGUGACGGCGCGAGCAGGUGCGAAAGCAGGUCAUAGUGAUCCGGUGGUUCUGAAUGGAAGGGCCAUCGCUCAACGGAUAAAAGGUACUCCGGGGAUAACAGGCUGAUACCGCCCAAGAGUUCAUAUCGACGGCGGUGUUUGGCACCUCGAUGUCGGCUCAUCACAUCCUGGGGCUGAAGUAGGUCCCAAGGGUAUGGCUGUUCGCCAUUUAAAGUGGUACGCGAGCUGGGUUUAGAACGUCGUGAGACAGUUCGGUCCCUAUCUGCCGUGGGCGCUGGAGAACUGAGGGGGGCUGCUCCUAGUACGAGAGGACCGGAGUGGACGCAUCACUGGUGUUCGGGUUGUCAUGCCAAUGGCACUGCCCGGUAGCUAAAUGCGGAAGAGAUAAGUGCUGAAAGCAUCUAAGCACGAAACUUGCCCCGA